Molecule: ribosomal RNA, 247 nt
Filed under: uncultured bacterium
Lineage: Bacteria
Description: partial 16S ribosomal RNA
Rfam family: Bacterial small subunit ribosomal RNA
Source: RNAcentral
GCAAGUCGAACGGUAAGGUCUCUUCGGAGAUACACGAGUGGCGCACGGGUGAGGAACACGUACACAAUCUACCUUGAACUGAGGAAUAGCCCCGGGAAACUGGGAUUAAUACUUCAUAGUCUUUACAGAUCGCAUGAGAAGUAAAGUAAAGCUCCGGCGGUUCAAGAUGAGUGUGCGUCCCAUUAGAUAGUUGGUGAGGUAACGGCUCACCAAGUCUGCGAUGGGUAGCUGGCGUGAGAGCGCGACC